GACGAACGCUGGCGGCGUGCUUAACACAUGCAAGUCGAACGGAAAGGCCUCUUGCUUGCAAGGGGUACUCGAGUGGCGAACGGGUGAGUAACACGUGGGUGAUCUGCCUUGCACUCUGGGAUAAGCUUGGGAAACUGGGUCUAAUACCGGAUAGGAACCGUCUUUAGUGUGGUGGUUGGAAAGUUUUUUCGGUGCAAGAUGAGCUCGCGGCCUAUCAGCUUGUUGGUGGGGUAAUGGCCUACCAAGGCGU
This 250-nucleotide ribosomal RNA is filed under the name uncultured bacterium. RNAcentral's name for it is "partial 16S ribosomal RNA". It matches the Rfam family "Bacterial small subunit ribosomal RNA", at positions 28 to 276 of the family's 1533-position model. The record is from RNAcentral.